CCCACAUCACUCCGCUUACACACAGAUGCCGCUGUGACCGGCCACCAACAAGUCCUGCCAACAGAGCUGUGAUCACUGAUGUGAUAAACCCGAGAAUGUGCUGGACGUGAGCCCAUGGUGUCUUACCCGAAUCUACAGCAUGGAGAGCCCACGGCCACGCGUGUGCUCACGUGUGCUGACUGCUUAUCCUGGGGACGCAUUUGCAGGCCUUGAAACCAGGUUUGAUUAAUUGGAAUUUAGAGUGGAACGCGUCUCCUGAUCAUGCCGAGUGACAUAAUCCCGCAUCUCUGGACUUGGUGUCUGUGUGUGAGGUGCCCACUGCCCCCCUGUGAGGACGAGGGGUGUGGUCCUGCCCGCAGAGCAGCCUCUGACCACACAGAUUGUUCCCGCAAC
This is a long non-coding RNA of Hipposideros armiger (great roundleaf bat), 393 nucleotides long. RefSeq lists it as uncharacterized. Lineage: Eukaryota; Metazoa; Chordata; Mammalia; Chiroptera; Hipposideridae. The record is from RefSeq and is a predicted model, not a curated record. The transcript is spliced from 3 exons.